GCUGCCAACCAGCCCUUGAGCUUCUGGUUGCUGUCUGGAAUCUGUUUCUCCAUUUCAGGUGGCUCCAGCUGCCCGCCCAGCCGCAGCAUGGGCUCUGAGAGCUGCUGCAUGAUGGCAGCCAGUAUCCCAUGGAGAGCUCAAGUCAGCAAGAUCGUAAGCAUCUUACAGGAGCUCAUCAGCACCCUCAAGCCUUGGGAAAGGAUGUGCUCCCUUUGGUACCUGAUGGAGGCAGGCAGGGACCUCUGCCAAAAUGCACGAUGAGAGUUCUUUCCUGGCUGCACAAUGGGUGCUUCAACACGGACCUGACAGACACUUUUAGCCUGUGAGGCCCCAGUUCAGCAAAAUACUUAAGUGGGGACGGAUCUAAGCAUGCAUGUGGAGACAUGGAUUUCCCCGACUAUGAUAACUUCAGUAUAACUGUAUGUGUGCUGUGAACUCUGUACAAUUACUCUACAGGACUGGAGUUGAGCUGUGUUUCUCAUCAUGAGAGUGAAUUAGGCAAGCUGAAAGAGAAGUUCUGUUCUCUGAGCCACAUAAAAGACCCUUGUUCUGAUACUCUGCAUUCACUGGAGCUCCACACAUGGUGGGAAGAAUGGAAGGGCAGACUAGAGAGGUACUGCCCUUGAGAGGUGCUGAAAGCCCCUUGGACUUGAAGAAUAUGCUGAAUUGCCACUGUCUUCAGUAAGAGAAGAAAAUACUCAGCACCAGGCAUAGAAAAACUCAGCAGUCUGCUUAAAAAUGAAGAAGUCGUGACACCUAGCGCCUCAGUUUGGAAACAGACUACAGAAACUGCAGCCACAGCAUCCCACCAGGACACAAGUAGUCCCUGUGCAGAACCUGUUUGCUGCCCAAGAAGGGGAAGAUGAAGCCAGCAGCAACCUGGAUGUAAGUCAAGCGGAGGACAACCAUGCCGAACAGAGUGGAACUAAACCAUGUUAAUGGAGCAGUGUACAUGUGCCUGCAUUGGCACUCCAGUUUGGUACUGUUACUGUCUGUGGCUCAGCAAAAGAAGGGAAGGAGGAAGAAAUGCUACCUACUGUUCAGCAGUUCUGUGAAUGAAAAAAACUUACUUUUAAGGCUCAGCUUGCAACCUGUGGGUAGGACUCAAAACAAAAUGGUUUUUAUUAGUUCUGUUUAGUAUCACAUACUGAAGUUUGAGGCACCAAUGGUAGGUGAUUGAUUUUUGUAGAACUAGUUCCCAUAUCUCUAAUUUCUUUACAAUCUUUCUGUGUACAUUGUUAGAUUUAGAUGCAUUCCCCCCUCAAACAUUAGGCUGGAGUCAUUCUUCAUCUUCCAGGGUUAACUAAUCUAUCAUUAGAUAAACCCAUGCAGAUCCAUAUGAAAUGUUUGCUUUUAAAGCCAAGCUUUCUUACAUCAGCUUUUGACAUUUUAUUCAGUUGGACAAGCUGAUUAAUUGUGUCAGCAUUAUACAUUUGCUUUGCAAUGAAUACUAAGCAGAUGUUAUACUGGCUUGUUGCCCCACACUGAGCAUGAAGAGGUAAAUCCUGCGAGACCUUGCUUUUGUUAGUAGGUCAGUUACCAAAAGGUCAAAUAGUGUCUCUUAGACUGUUUCCUACAUAAAUAUGAUAUUGAUUAAUCUUAGAUAUUUUGAUUCAGGUCUUCUGGGAGGGGCUUUAUAUUAGAAGUACAAGGCCAAAACCUGACAUGUCAGACUAGGCAAAAUGUCUGCUGACUGUAAGGGCAAUUUUUUCUGUGAGGGUUUCCAGGUUGAACCAGCUGUGAGUUGCUCUCAUUAUAGCUUGCAUUUUCUCUCUCAGCAGACAUGCAGGCGAAGUCUGUAGGGAGAGGUAACGUCUUUUCAUCAAGCCAAUGGGAUGUAACGAAAGAAUGUUUCAGGCACACAAGUCCCUCUUUAGGUCUGAAAUGGAAACCACAAACUUCAAGCUCAAUACAGAGUGAGAAGGGAACAGUUUUUCCAAAAAAUCUGGGUAAGCACCCCUAGGAUAAAAGGAAAUGUUAGCAAGAGAAGAGAUAAUAAGCCAUACAUAAGCAUUUUCCUUCAACAUAGGCUAAACUUCAGAAAUGAACCCACUGAAACAGAACUACAUCUGUUUGACACUGGUAGAAAAGAAUCAAGUGCGUUGUUACAGAUUUCAGAAAUGGGCCUGUGCCACAAAGUUUGAAUCAUAUCUGAAGUUUCCCAAAGUUCAGGAAGUUUUCAGAACCAGGGCUCUUGGGCCCUUCUCACGUAGUUUACAAAAUGGAGUCUGUAAGCCUACAUUAUCUGUUGUCCUGGGACAAA
This is a long non-coding RNA of Harpia harpyja (harpy eagle), 2263 nucleotides long. RefSeq lists it as uncharacterized. The record is from RefSeq and is a predicted model, not a curated record. NCBI's taxonomy places the organism in Eukaryota, Metazoa, Chordata, Aves, Accipitriformes, Accipitridae. The transcript is spliced from 7 exons.